This 330-nucleotide ribosomal RNA is filed under the name Suilloid fungal sp. SarAZ. RNAcentral's name for it is "LSU rRNA". It matches the Rfam family "Bacterial large subunit ribosomal RNA", at positions 1773 to 2106 of the family's 2925-position model. RNAcentral also lists the same sequence under 3 other names. The record is from RNAcentral. Lineage: Eukaryota; Fungi; Basidiomycota; Agaricomycetes; Boletales; Boletaceae.
GUGGUGGCACAAAAUCGGAAGCCCCGACUGUUUACUAAAAACACAGCUAUCUGCAACGAUGUAAAUCAUAGUAUAGGUAGUGAGGUUUGCCCGAUGCCAUUAAUAUAAGAGAAGUGAUGGGUAACUGUUAAUUAUCGAAAAUCUGGUUAAUAGCGGUCUUAACUAUGAGGAUCCUAAGGUAGCAAAAUAAAUUGGCCAUUAAAUGUGGUCCGGUAUCAAUAAUUUAACGAUGGCUUCACUGUCUCUACAACUUGCUCAGUGAAAUUGAAUUACCCGUGCAGAUGCGGGUUGCCACCAGGGGGACGGGAAGACCCUAUGCAGCUUCUACUG